RNAcentral lists this ribosomal RNA (458 nucleotides) under uncultured bacterium. Its description in RNAcentral is "bacterial SSU rRNA". It matches the Rfam family "Bacterial small subunit ribosomal RNA", at positions 33 to 507 of the family's 1533-position model. The record is from RNAcentral.
ACGCUGGCGGCGCGCUUAAUACAUGCAAGUCGAACGAGAAGCCAGAGCUUGCUCUGGUGGAAAGUGGCGAACGGGUGAGUAACACGUGAGAAACCUGCCCCAAAGAUUGGGAUAAGCCUUGGAAACGAGGUCUAAUACCAAAUACCUUCCUUUUAACACAUGUUAAAAAGAAGAAAUGCUCCGGCGCUUUGGGAUGGUCUCGCGAUCUAUCAGCUUGUUGGUGAGGUAACGGCUCACCAAGGCAUCGACGGAUAGCUGGUCUGAGAGGAUGUCCAGCCACAUUGGAACUGAGACACGGUCCAAACUCCUACGGGAGGCAGCAGUAGGGAAUCUUGCACAAUGAGGGAAACCUUGAUGCAGCGACGCCGCGUGCGGGACGAAGGCCCUAGGGUUGUAAACCGCUUUCAGUAGGGACGAAAGUGACGGUACCUACAGAAGAAGCCCCGGCCAACUAUGUG